AAGAUUGUGCCAUCUUAGCCUGCCAAAAGGGGCAUAUAGCUGGAGCUGCAGUGUCAAAUGAAGGGAUAAAUGGGUAAGCUAGCAUGUUUUUGUUUUAGGAUCCAACAUCCCUGUGUUAUGGCAUUACCGUUGUGCCCUUUAUAAAUUCCCUUGCGGUAGCUAUUUUCACUGAUUGCAUGCCCCUGGCUAUAUAUACGCUGCCACUGCUAAUCUGCCCCGGAUACUGCCAGCUCCUCAAUCUUCCCAAAGCUUCUUUGGGUCCAGUUUACCAGAUUUAACUGCAGCAGAUUUAUUUACUUCGCCAUCGCCACCCAGACUCUUUUGAGGACAGCAGAGAUUUUCCUUUGAUCCCAUAUCCACCAAGAUUGAACAACAGAGUAUUAGAAGUACAAUUUAUCUCUUAUAUUAUUGGAGGAGCCCUGCCCUCCAACUCCAAUUAAGAAGGACCAGAGGUUUAUGGUACAAAUGGGGGGUCCAUUUUUCUGAUUGUCCAUCUCCACCGGGUGUAAGAGAUUUCAGUGCACCUGCCAGCAGUAGGGUCAAAUAUUCGCAUGCAUGUUCAUAACUUUGCUCCAUGCGGGCUGUUUUUUAAUCUUUGUGAAUCUACAGGCUAAUAUUUUUCUGUGCAUUUCAGAUCGCUUGUUUCCUGCGCCAGUCCUCUUCAGUUUGGUAUACUUUGAAAUUCCAGCAAAUUGUUUGAGGACCCAGUGACCCAGGUGCCACCACCCUACUGUCAAAAUUGUUCGGUCAUGUAAUUCAGGCUGUAAAUAGCCGCUCCUGAACUUUUCGAAAAUGACCAGCAGGUAGUAGAUUUGAUUCAAAAUUUGCACGCCCUCCACAUGCAUGCAAGUUAGUCAAACUGAAGCGAUGGUUCAGUUUCAAACAAAAAAAAAGAUUCAAACAAACGACAGGAUAUUCGCAUCAGCCAAUAGUCAUACAGGUAUGGAACACACUGAUUAGCUGGACCGCCACUGAGCAACCUGCAUUAUUGCAAACCUCCCAAUUUGGGUAGCGAGUCAUAUCCAAGUGAGGUAUCUAUCAAUCAAUCAUUCGGAU
Molecule: long non-coding RNA, 1056 nt
Organism: Panicum hallii
Lineage: Eukaryota; Viridiplantae; Streptophyta; Magnoliopsida; Poales; Poaceae
Exons: 3
Source: RefSeq, a predicted model, not a curated record